RNAcentral lists this long non-coding RNA (1656 nucleotides) under Olea europaea subsp. europaea. Lineage: Eukaryota; Viridiplantae; Streptophyta; Magnoliopsida; Lamiales; Oleaceae. The record is from RNAcentral.
CUGAAACAUGUUAUUUGAUAUAUAUGUUAGUUUACACGUGUUUUAUAGAAAAAUAAGAGGAUUUACCAAAUGUAUAUGAAGGUAAAGAUAUGAAAUUUAAGCAAAAGCCAGAAAAUAUCAGAGAUCUUACCACUGAAAUUGAAAACUUUAGACAUGGGAACUGUGUGAAAAACCAAGGAAAGUCAAAUUUGAAACUUGGAAGCCCAACCCUCUGAAGAGCAAAAAUGACCAGAUCAAGCAAGAAGAAGACAAUCCAGCAAGAUUAGAACAAGAAAAGAAUGCAUAAAAAAAAAAAAAAAUCAAAAGUAAGAAAUCAUUUGGGAACCCUAUCCUGGUCACUGACUACCGUCCCGUUGGAGUUAGAGCCGCUUGGAGGUUGGACGAGGAGAGCAAUCGCAGGAAAAAAAAUCAGAGGGGAAGAACGAAUGGAAAAUACCCUUUUCCUUUUACCUCACAAAAAAAGAAAAAAAAAAUUCAAGGCCAAAAUGAGGCCCCCUCGAAUUUUGUGCCUGAGGCGUGGGCCUCAUUGGCCUCACCACAAGACCGGCUCUGCAUUUCAUUUGUAUGUUAUAUUUACUUGCUAUUUUUUCCUCUUUUUCUUCAUCACGUGAAUUGUUGUGAUUUGAUUUUCCAAUUCUUCUGAUUUACCUAGUACAUUUCUAUAGGAAUAAAUAGAAAAGAAGAACAUAAAUAUAAUUUAUCAGAUGAAAACCAAGCAAUUGAAUUUAUGCAACUCUAUCUUCAAUGAACAUCUUUGGCUAAAAUUUCAAUUUUUCCUUCAAUCCAUUCUACAUUUUGGUAUAUCGUUCUGUUUUUGCCAAGUUCUUUAACACAUGGAUGCUUGUAAAUUACCUUUACGAUGUGCAGUUUCUAUACAGUCAUUAUCUGCAUAGAACUUGACCAGAGCAGUGCCAACGUACACAUCCAUCUCAAAGCCUAAAUCUUUAAUCAAGCCAUGUAUUGUCCUUAACUUAACAGAACACAAGCCUUAAUUACAUAAGGAAAAGUAUACUUGUCAGGCCAAGAACCAAAAUCCAACAUCUUAAAAUAAAAUAAAAUUGCAAAUUCAAAAUAAUCUGUCACGGUAAAAUAUCUAAUCAUCCAAUUCCAAGGAGCAGCAUAGCAUAAAUUAAGCUGAUAAAAUAAUUCCUUGGCAUCAAAAUACUUGUUACACAAAACGUACAUACCCAAAGUUCUCGUGCCUAGAAUGCCCACUUUCUAGAGUCCAUUUACGGUAAUCUGGGCGCGAAUCUGCUUCGCUUGAUGAAACAUCGAAGGAGAAAGAGAAGGGUCUUUUUGUAGAAUCGGUGCAAUUUUGGAUACUAAAACCUCCAAGGUGAACGAAAAAUGGAAAGGGUGUUUUGAUUGGGCUGUAUGGAUAAAAUUGGACUUGCAAUUAAAAGCAGUAAUAACUUGUGAAAAAAUUCCUGGAACUGAAGGCAGAGAGAGACAUGAGUGAGGGCUGAGGCACCGUUGGUCAGAGGUGGAAGUCGGAGAGAGACGAGAGUGAGCUAAGGCGCCGAUGGUUGACGGUGGAAGGAGGAGAGAGAUGAGAGUGAGAGUUGAGGCGUCGAGGAAAAUCAUGGAGAGGCAGAGUCAAUGGGGAAAAGGAAAUGGGAGAAAUAUUGUAUUAUACGGCUUUGUAAUGAAUUUUUG